GUUAUUUUGCAGGAAGUUGUCGUUGCUGGGCGUACUGCGCAUGUGCGAGCUGUCCAUCCGCUUGGUUCAGUUCAGCGUGUGAUUCAAUGGACGGAGGACGACAGGUGUGGCGCGGGACUACAUCAACACAGGAUCAUGUCUGGCGAAAAGAAAACGCCAGGUUGAUAAUCACUGUGAUAGACCAGACUACAACAGACCCUGCUUUCAUUAUCCAUAUGAACCAGUGAGUUCCCAGGACAGAUCUCAGCGUUCACAUGAAGGAGAGUUCUGCAGGAGGCCCGUAGGAGAAACCUGGGAAUGCCCCGGCUGCCUCCUUGACGCUGCUGGUCACGGUCAGGGAGUCGUUGCACAGAGACGAGGUGACGGGCAGGUGGGUGAACUCAGGGUCGAAGUGUCUCAGGUCUGUGGGGCCGGACUGUUAAACAAAAACAGGCGAGACGUGAAUUAGACAUACUGGCAUGAACGAACAGUGAAAAUACAAGUUUAAGAAUUAAAACGCUUCCAAAUCCCAAACA
This is a long non-coding RNA of Notolabrus celidotus (New Zealand spotty), 515 nucleotides long. RefSeq lists it as uncharacterized. The record is from RefSeq and is a predicted model, not a curated record. Lineage: Eukaryota; Metazoa; Chordata; Actinopteri; Labriformes; Labridae. The transcript has 3 exons.